UACGAAGGAUGCAAGCGUUAUCCGGAUUCAUUGGGUUUAAAGGGAGCGUAGGCGGCCUUGUAAGUCAGUGGUGAAAUCUCUCGGCUUAACCGAGAAAUUGCCAUUGAUACUGCAGGGCUUGAGUACAGUUGCCGUUGGCGGAAUAUGACAUGUAGUGGUGAAAUACAUAGAGAUGUCAUAGAACACCGAUUGCGAAGGCAGCUAACGAAACUGUAACUGACGCUGAGGCUCGAAAGUGCGGGGAUCAAACAGG
Molecule: ribosomal RNA, 253 nt
Filed under: uncultured bacterium
Lineage: Bacteria
Description: partial 16S ribosomal RNA
Rfam family: Bacterial small subunit ribosomal RNA
Source: RNAcentral